GGGUGUUUGGCCGAGUGGUUAUGGCGUCGUGUUUAGGCCGCGAUGGGUCCGCCCGCGCAGGUUCGAAUCCUGCAGCACUCA
This 81-nucleotide transfer RNA is filed under the name Hirsutella minnesotensis 3608. RNAcentral's name for it is "tRNA-Leu (TAG) (tRNA-Leu-TAG-1-1)". It matches the Rfam family "tRNA". From Rfam's summary of the family: Transfer RNA (tRNA) molecules are approximately 80 nucleotides in length. Their secondary structure includes four short double-helical elements and three loops (D, anti-codon, and T loops). Further hydrogen bonds mediate the characteristic L-shaped molecular structure. tRNAs have two regions of fundamental functional importance: the anti-codon, which is responsible for specific mRNA codon recognition, and the 3' end, to which the tRNAs corresponding amino acid is attached (by aminoacyl-tRNA synthetases). tRNAs cope with the degeneracy of the genetic code in two manners: having more than one tRNA (with a specific anti-codon) for a particular amino acid; and 'wobble' base-pairing, i.e. permitting non-standard base-pairing at the 3rd anti-codon position. The record is from RNAcentral. Lineage: Eukaryota; Fungi; Ascomycota; Sordariomycetes; Hypocreales; Ophiocordycipitaceae.